CUUUUUUUUUCUUCCUUCUCCCUUCUCUCUCUACCAAAGUAGUGGUAGUAUUUAUAGGAGAGAAUGGGGUAUUUUUUUUUCUCAUCCACCAAUGUGGGAGAAAAGUAUUUAUAGGAAAGGAUAAAGAUUUAUUUCUUGUCAUCUACCAAUGUGGGAGAAAAAUCAAUUAGGGGGGUUUUUGGAAUGUAAAAAUUAAAGAUAAGGUAUGGUGGAAGAUAAUGUGGGGGGAAAUAGUACAAUGUAGUACAAUC
This 251-nucleotide long non-coding RNA is filed under the name Capsicum annuum. RNAcentral describes it as "long non-coding RNA (CANN_LNC019864)". Lineage: Eukaryota; Viridiplantae; Streptophyta; Magnoliopsida; Solanales; Solanaceae. The record is from RNAcentral.